GAUGAAGAACGCAGCGAAAUGCGAUACGUAGUGUGAAUUGCAGAAUUCAGUGAAUCAUCGAAUCUUUGAACGCACAUUGCGCCCGCCAGCAUUCUGGCGGGCAUGCCUGUUCGAGCGUCAUUUCAACCCUCGACCUCCCUUUGGGGAAGUCGGCGUUGGGGACCGGCAGCACACCGCCGGCCCUGAAAUGGAGUGGCGGCCCGUCCGCGGCGACCUCUGCGUAGUAAUCCAACUCGCACCGGAACCCCGACGCGGCCACGCCGUAAAACACCCAACUUCUGAACGUUGACCUCGAAUCAGGUAGGACUACCCGCUGAACUUAAGCAUAUCAAUAAGCGGAGGA
RNAcentral lists this unclassified non-coding RNA (343 nucleotides) under soil metagenome. Its description in RNAcentral is "partial contains 5.8S ribosomal RNA, internal transcribed spacer 2, and large subunit ribosomal RNA". The stretch from base 1 to 120 matches the Rfam family "5.8S ribosomal RNA", at positions 35 to 154 of the family's 154-position model. The record is from RNAcentral.